This 572-nucleotide ribosomal RNA is filed under the name Salmonella enterica subsp. enterica serovar Typhi. RNAcentral describes it as "partial 23S ribosomal RNA". It matches the Rfam family "Bacterial large subunit ribosomal RNA", at positions 1 to 586 of the family's 2925-position model. The record is from RNAcentral. Lineage: Bacteria; Pseudomonadati; Pseudomonadota; Gammaproteobacteria; Enterobacterales; Enterobacteriaceae.
GGUUAAGCGACUAAGCGUACACGGUGGAUGCCCUGGCAGUCAGAGGCGAUGAAGGGCGUGCUAAUCUGCGAUAAGCGCCGGUAAGGUGAUAUGAACCGUUAUAACCGGCGAUACCCGAAUGGGGAAACCCAGUGUGAUUCGUCACACUAUCAUUAACUGAAUCCAUAGGUUAAUGAGGCGAACCGGGGGAACUGAAACAUCUAAGUACCCCGAGGAAAAGAAAUCAACCGAGAUUCCCCCAGUAGCGGCGAGCGAACGGGGAGGAGCCCAGAGCCUGAAUCAGCAUGUGUGUUAGUGGAAGCGUCUGGAAAGGCGCGCGAUACAGGGUGACAGCCCCGUACACAAAAGCGCAUAUGCUGUGAGCUCGAUGAGUAGGGCGGGACACGUGGUAUCCUGUCUGAAUAUGGGGGGACCAUCCUCCAAGGCUAAAUACUCCUGACUGACCGAUAGUGAACCAGUACCGUGAGGGAAAGGCGAAAAGAACCCCGGCGAGGGGAGUGAAAAAGAACCUGAAACCGUGUACGUACAAGCAGUGGGAGCCCCACCACUAAGCCAGUGGUGAACUCCACAUA